Molecule: ribosomal RNA, 468 nt
Filed under: uncultured bacterium
Lineage: Bacteria
Description: partial 16S ribosomal RNA
Rfam family: Bacterial small subunit ribosomal RNA
Source: RNAcentral
GACGAACGCUGGCGGCGUGCUUAACACAUGCAAGUCGAACGGAAAGGCCCUGCUUUUGUGGGGUGCUCGAGUGGCGAACGGGUGAGUAACACGUGAGUAACCUGCCCUUGACUUUGGGAUAACUUCAGGAAACUGGGGCUAAUACCGGAUAGGAGCUCCUGCGGCAUGGUGGGGGUUGGAAAGUUUCGGCGGUUGGGGAUGGACUCGGGGCUUAUCGGCUUGGUGGUGGGGUAGGGGCUUACCAAGGCUUUGACGGGUAGCCGGCCUGAGAGGGUGACCGGCCACAUUGGGACUGAGAUACGGCCCAGACUCCUACGGGAGGCAGCAGUGGGGAAUAUUGCACAAUGGGCGGAAGCCUGAUGCAGCAACGCCGCGUGCGGGAUGACGGCCUUCUGUUUGUAAACCGCUUUCGCCUGUGACGAAGCGUGAGUGACGGUAAUGGGUAAAGAAGCACCGGCUAACUACGUG